Long non-coding RNA from Amphimedon queenslandica, 236 nucleotides. RefSeq lists it as uncharacterized. The transcript has 3 exons. The record is from RefSeq and is a predicted model, not a curated record. Lineage: Eukaryota; Metazoa; Porifera; Demospongiae; Haplosclerida; Niphatidae.
CCCCCCCGCUUGCGCAGCUAGCACUAAGUCAGGUCGCAAUCACGCACUGACUUACCAGCUGUACUGCUAUGGAAGACUUUGAGUUGGUUUAUACCGAAAAUGAUGAGACUUUCGACACAUUUGAUGACCUUAGCAAGGAUGAAGAUACUGACAGUGAUACACAAAGCUCUGACAUAGAUGCAGAUAAAUAAACAGACAAUUCAGUAACAUAGGAGCUAUAGAUAUUUCAGAAGUUC